UGGGUGGGGGGGCAGAAAGAGACCACCAAGGGUUCAGAGAACAAAGACCAGAUAUUUGGAGUGGGGGGUGGGGGGCCAAAAAGGGAAACUGGAGGAGCAAUUGGGGAUCCAGGUAUCAGAGGUAGGGGGACUUGGGGAGCAAGAGGAAAGCCAGGGCUGAAUGGGGGUUGGGGGACAAGAGCAGGUUGGGGCAGUAGUACUCCUCCCUCAUGGGAGGGUUACCCCUCUUCUUUCCUCCUGCCCAAAUUUGAGUUCCUUCCCUUUACUCUGACUCCUUGAACGUCACUGAAAAUGGCAGCUAUUGCGAGGAGUGGGGGCCACGGGUCUACCCUCUGUUCAACUCGUGGCCCAGGGGAGUGGUGAGGGGUGCCCCAGCCCCCUGCCUGCCUCUCCGCACAAUACUUGAACAUUCAUCUGUACUGAAGUGUUACUUGAACCGGGGGAACCUUGGACCUGGGGGAGCCGAAGUGUGAUUGGAUGGGACCAGCUUGGACUGAGACUGAACUGGUGGGCACCCAGAGUGGACUGCACCACCUCCAGAUAUCUCUGGCUUUACUGUCUUGAGCAGCUCUACCCCUCCUGACCCGAGUUGGGGGUGGUGGGUGCCAGCCCAAUGAUGGGGAAGAUGGGACUCCUCCAGCUUGGCUCUUCCCACUCUUUCAUCGUCAUGGAAACUUGUAUCCCAUUCGCCCAGGGAACUGCCACUCCUGGUUGCCAUGGAAAUAGCAGCCAAUGGACACCUCCCGAUGCCAGUGCUAAGGCUGGAAAUGGCCCCUCUCAGUUGCCAUGGGAACUUAGUAACAGACUCUUUUUGGUCCUCCUCUCCACUGCCCCUUCCUCCUGUGUUGGAGUGGGGUCUUGGGAGCCAGAGGGAGGAGCUGGGCCAGGUUCCGCCCCUCAGUCCAGGCCUCUGGGGGCAGCCGGGUUGUACUAUGUAGGGGAGGGGGAAAUCUAUCCACAUACCUCAGGUAACAGGGAGGUGCGCGGGUGGGGGGAGGGACUGG
RNAcentral lists this long non-coding RNA (1004 nucleotides) under Marmota monax (woodchuck). The record is from RNAcentral. Lineage: Eukaryota; Metazoa; Chordata; Mammalia; Rodentia; Sciuridae.